AGUGAACGCUGGCGGUAGGCCUAACACAUGCAAGUCGAACGGCAGCACAGUAAGAGCUUGCUCUUACGGGUGGCGAGUGGCGGACGGGUGAGGAAUACAUCGGAAUCUACUUUUUCGUGGGGGAUAACGUAGGGAAACUUACGCUAAUACCGCAUACGCCCUACGGGUGAAAGCAGGGGAUCUUCGGACCUUGCGCGAUUGAAUGAGCCGAUGUCGGAUUAGCUAGUUGGCGGGGUAAAGGCCCACCAAGGCGACGAUCCGUAGCUGGUCUGAGAGGAUGAUCAGCCACACUGGAACUGAGACACGGUCCAGACUCCUACGGGAGGCAGCAGUGGGGAAUAUUGGACAAUGGGCGCAAGCCUGAUCCAGCCAUACCGCGUGGGUGAAGAAGGCCUUCGGGUUGUAAAGCCCUUUUGUUGGGAAAGAAAAGCAGCAAGUUAAUACCCCGCUGUUCUGACGGUACCCAAAGAAUAAGCACCGGCUAACUUCGUG
Molecule: ribosomal RNA, 492 nt
Filed under: uncultured bacterium
Lineage: Bacteria
Description: partial 16S ribosomal RNA
Rfam family: Bacterial small subunit ribosomal RNA
Source: RNAcentral